RNAcentral lists this ribosomal RNA (641 nucleotides) under Tidarren sisyphoides. Its description in RNAcentral is "SSU rRNA". It matches the Rfam family "Eukaryotic small subunit ribosomal RNA", at positions 1144 to 1803 of the family's 1831-position model. The record is from RNAcentral. Lineage: Eukaryota; Metazoa; Arthropoda; Arachnida; Araneae; Theridiidae.
UUAAAGGAAUUGACGGAAGGGCACUACCAGGAAUGGAGCCUGCGGCUUAAUUUGACUCAACACGGGGAAGCUUAUCUGGAUAGGACACAGGAAGGAUUGACAGAUUAAGAGCUCUUUCUUGAUUCUGUGGAAGGUGGUGCAUGGCCAUUCUUAGUUGGUGGAGCGAUUUGUCUGGUUAAUUCCGAUAACGAUCGAGACUCUAGCCUACUAAAUAGACGUUCCGAUCCUUGCUGUCGGACGCUCUUCUUAGAGGGACACGCGGCGUUUAGCCGCACGAGACAGAGCAAUAGUAGGUCUGUGAUGCCCUUAGAUGUCCAGAGCCGCACGCGCGCUACAAUGAAGGAAUCAGCGUGUGCUUUCCCUGUCCGACAGGACUGGGUAACCCGUUGAACCUCCUUCGUGCUUGGGAUAGGCGCUUGUAAUUAUUCGCCUUGAACGAGGAAUUCCCAGUAAGCGCGAGUCAUCAGCUCGUGUUGAUUACGUCCCUGCCCUUUGUGCACACCGCCCGUCGCAACAUCCGAUGGAAUGAUUUAGUGAGGUCCUCGGACUGGCGCUCGGAUUGACCUCCGGGUCGAGCCGGCGUGCCGGAAAGAUGAUCGAACUUGGUCAUUUAGAGGAAGUUAAAGUCGUAACAAGGUUUC